AGGGUUUAUAUUGCUCCGAAAGGGGAAAGUAGCAAAAGCACGCCACCGGCGGCUAGGGUUUCUACCCAGUUACAAUAAUCAUGCCCAAAACUGAGAGCGAGGGGUGGCUAUAUAGCCAUUACAGAGGGAAAAGCAGAACAGAAAGUGGAGACAGAGCACAUGGCUUGUCGGGCGAUGAACAGCGACACUCAGGGCGAUGAUAGCCGUUGGAUGGAGCAUCUGCGACUCUGAUGACAAACCAGUGGCGAACCGUUAUCUUCAUUGGAGAGCCACUGGAUGGCGAAUCGACGGCUGAGCUUGGUCCGACACGCAGAAACAGGGGAGUUCUUCAGAGAUGCAAUGACAGGCCUGACAGCACAUACGGUGGUUUAGUAUUUCUUAAUCAAUUGAGAAAUAGCAAUCCGGCCUGGAAGGAAAAAAUGAUGGGGAAGUCUGAGAAGUUCCUCCAGUUUGCAGUAUCACCACAAAGCAAUCACCCCAUACGAAUCGAACGCAUGCAUGACCUCCCCUGAGAGAGCAAGAAUUAAUAAUCCCGGGAACAGCGACUCCAAUUCCAAAUCAACCAACCAGAUCGAGUAAAACGCCUAGACAGUAAAUCAACCAGAUAGUAAAACGCCGAGACAGUAAAUCAACCAGAUCGAGUAAAACGCCGAGACAGUAAAUUGGGCAUGGUUGAUGGUCUGAUGCUUACCUCGAUCCUCUGUCUCCACAGGGUGCGUGCAGUGCAAUGGAUGGCGGCGUCCCAGAUGGGCCUCGGGAAGGAGAAGCCGUGGACGAGGUGGCGGAGCGGAGGUGCCGUGGACGAGGGCAGCGGCGGCGGCGGCGGUGAGUUUGGCUCGAGGGCGUUGCAAGGGAGCACGGGCGAGGAUAAGAGGUGGGCAGGGCACACAUGCAAUCAAUCAUUAUGGUUGGCCGAUUAUUGUUGCAUAAGUCGUCAGUGUUCACAUUGAG
This 951-nucleotide long non-coding RNA is filed under the name Triticum aestivum (bread wheat). RNAcentral's name for it is "long non-coding RNA (TAES_LNC026615)". The record is from RNAcentral. Lineage: Eukaryota; Viridiplantae; Streptophyta; Magnoliopsida; Poales; Poaceae.